GACGAACGCUGGCGGCGUGCUUAACACAUGCAAGUCGAACGGAAAGGCCCUGCUUUUGUGGGGUGCUCGAGUGGCGAACGGGUGAGUAACACGUGAGUAAACUGCCCUUGACUUUGGGAUAACUUCAGGAAACUGGGGCUAAUACCGGAUAGGAGCUCCUGCUGCAUGGGGGGGGUUGGAAAGUUUCGGCGGUUGGGGAUGGACUCGCGGCUUAUCAGCUUGUUGGUGGGGUAGUGGCUUACCAAGGCUUUGACGGGUAGCCGGCCUUGGAGGGUGACCGGCCACAUUGGGACUGCGAUACGGCCCAGACUCCUACGUGAGGCAGCAGUGGGGAAUAUUGCACAAUGGGCGGAAGCCUGAUGCAGCAACGCCGCGUGCGGGAUGACGGCCUUCGGGUUGUAAACCGCUUUCGCCUGUGACGAAGCGUGAGUGACGGUAAUGGGUAAAGAAGCACCGGCUAACUACGUG
Molecule: ribosomal RNA, 468 nt
Filed under: uncultured bacterium
Lineage: Bacteria
Description: partial 16S ribosomal RNA
Rfam family: Bacterial small subunit ribosomal RNA
Source: RNAcentral